GACGAACGCUGGCGGCGUGCCUAAUACAUGCAAGUCGAACGCUUCUUUUUCCACCGGAGCUUGCUCCACCGGAAAAAGAGGAGUGGCGAACGGGUGAGUAACACGUGGGUAACCUGCCCAUCAGAAGGGGAUAACACUUGGAAACAGGUGCUAAUACCGUAUAACAAUCAAAACCGCAUGGUUUUGAUUUGAAAGGCGCUUUCGGGUGUCGCUGAUGGAUGGACCCGCGGUGCAUUAGCUAGUUGGUGAGGUAACGGCUCACCAAGGCCACGAUGCAUAGCCGACCUGAGAGGGUGAUCGGCCACAUUGGGACUGAGACACGGCCCAAACUCCUACGGGAGGCAGCAGUAGGGAAUCUUCGGCAAUGGACGAAAGUCUGACCGAGCAACGCCGCGUGAGUGAAGAAGGUUUUCGGAUCGUAAAACUCUGUUGUUAGAGAAGAACAAGGAUGAGAGUAACUGUUCAUCCCUUGACGGUAUCUAACCAGAAAGCCACGGCUAACUACGUGCCAGCAGCCGCGGUAAUACGUAGGUGGCAAGCGUUGUCCGGAUUUAUUGGGCGUAAAGCGAGCGCAGGCGGUUUCUUAAGUCUGAUGUGAAAGCCCCCGGCUCAACCGGGGAGGGUCAUUGGAAACUGGGAAACUUGAGUGCAGAAGAGGAGAGUGGAAUUCCAUGUGU
Molecule: ribosomal RNA, 677 nt
Filed under: Enterococcus faecium
Lineage: Bacteria; Bacillati; Bacillota; Bacilli; Lactobacillales; Enterococcaceae
Description: bacterial SSU rRNA
Rfam family: Bacterial small subunit ribosomal RNA
Source: RNAcentral